GUGCAGCAGUCGAGAAUACUUUACAAUGUGCGAAAGCACGAUAAGGGAACUCUGAGUGCCUCCUAAGGAGGCUGUUCAGGUGUCUAAAAGCACCUGAAGGAAGGGCUGGGUAAGACCGGUGCCAGCCGCCGCGGUAACACCGGCAGCCCAAGUGGUAGCCACGUUUAUUGGGUCUAAAGCGUCCGUAGCCGGCUGGGUAAGUUCCUUGGGAAAUUUGGCUGCUUAACAGUCAAGCUUUCAGGGAAUACUGCCCGGCUUGGGACCGGGAGAGGUCAGAGGUACUCCAGGGGUAGGGUGAAAUCCAUUAAUCCUUGGGGGACCACCGGUAGCGAAGGCGUCUGACCAGACCGGGUCCGACGGUGAGGGACGAAGGCUAGGGGCGCGAACCGGAUUAGAUACCCGGGUAGU
Molecule: ribosomal RNA, 408 nt
Filed under: uncultured microorganism
Description: bacterial SSU rRNA
Rfam family: Archaeal small subunit ribosomal RNA
Source: RNAcentral